Small nuclear RNA from Oreochromis aureus, 187 nucleotides. Its record names the gene U2. It matches the Rfam family "U2 spliceosomal RNA". From Rfam's summary of the family: U2 is a small nuclear RNA (snRNA) component of the spliceosome (involved in pre-mRNA splicing). Complementary binding between U2 snRNA (in an area lying towards the 5' end but 3' to hairpin I) and the branchpoint sequence (BPS) of the intron results the bulging out of an unpaired adenosine, on the BPS, which initiates a nucleophilic attack at the intronic 5' splice site, thus starting the first of two transesterification reactions that mediate splicing. The record is from Ensembl. NCBI's taxonomy places the organism in Eukaryota, Metazoa, Chordata, Actinopteri, Cichliformes, Cichlidae.
AUCGCUUCUCGGCCUUUUGGCUAAGAUCAAGUGUAGUAUCUGUUCUUAUCAGUUUAAUAUCUGAUACGCCCCGAUUCGGGGCAACGAUAAACCCAUUUUUAGAACAGGGAGCUGAAUAAGGGGCUCGCUCCGUUCGCUCCCACGCAUCGACCCGGUAUUGCAGCGCCUCGGGAACGGUGCCCCUUUG